This 1547-nucleotide ribosomal RNA is filed under the name uncultured bacterium. RNAcentral describes it as "bacterial SSU rRNA". It matches the Rfam family "Bacterial small subunit ribosomal RNA". The record is from RNAcentral.
AGAGUUUGAUCAUGGCUCAGAACGAACGCUGGCAGCGUGGAUGAGGCAUGCAAGUCGAGCGGUGCCCGGAGAGUAGCAAUAUGAUCCGGGCAUAGCGGCGGAAGGGCGAGUAUCGCGUGGGCAAGCUACCCCCUAGUGCGGAACAACACCUGGAAACGGGUGCUAAUGCCGCAUGUUGCCGUCCGGCGCAGGCCGGGCGCGCCAAAGGCCGGGACCGCAAGGCCGGCCGCCAGGGGAGGCGCCCGCGUGCCAUCAGCUAGUUGGCGGGGUAACGGCCCACCAAGGCGUACGGCUAGGCGGACUGAGAGGUUGGUCGCCCGCACUGGGACUGAGACACUGCCCAGACUCCUACGGGAGGCUGCAGUCGAGGAUCAUUCGCAAUGGGCGCAAGCCUGACGAUGCGACGCUGCGUGGAGGACGAAGGCCCUCGGGUCGUAAACUCCUGUCAGAGGGGAAAAGGGCGCCCUCCCGAACAGGGAGGCGCGCUUGAUGGUACCCUCAGAGGAAGCCACGGCUAACUCUGUGCCAGCAGCCGCGGUAAUACAGAGGUGGCGAGCGUUGUUCGGAUUUACUGGGCGUAAGGGCGUGUAGGCGGACAGAUUAGUUGGGAGUGAAAUCCCGGGGCUCAACCUCGGAACUGCUUUCAAAACGGUUUGUCUAGAGUGUAGUAGGGGACAAUGGAAUACCCAGUGGAGAGGUUAAAUUCGUAGAGAUUGGGUAGAACACCAGAGGCGAAGGCGAUUGUCUGGACUAUUACUGACGCUGAGGCGCGAAAGCGUGGGGAUCAAACAGGAUUAGAUACCCUGGUAGUCCACGCUGUAAACGAUGAAUGCUAGGGGUCAGGCCUUUAAGGUUUGGUCCCGCCGCUAACGCAUUAAGCAUUCCGCCUGGGGAGUACGGUCGCAAGAUUAAAACUUAAAGGAAUUGACGGGGGCCCGCACAAGCAGUGGAGUAUGUGGUUUAAUUCGACGCUACGCGCAGAACCUUACCACCCCUUGACAUGGGUAUCGCCGAGUUUGUAAUGAACUCUUCAUUUAGUUGGAUACCACACAGGUGCUGCAUGGCUGUCGUCAGCUCGUGUCGUGAGAUGUUGGGUUAAGUCCCGCAACGAGCGCAACCCUCGUCUUUAGUUGCCAUCAUUCAGUUGGGCACUCUAAAGAUACUGCCGGUGUAAGCCGGAGGAAGGUGGGGAUGACGUCAAGUCAGUAUGGCCCUUACGCCUGGGGCCGCACACGUGCUACAAUGGCCGGCACAGAAGGAAGCGAAGCCGCGAGGCGGAGCAAACCCCCAGAACCGGCCCCAGUUCGGAUCGGAGCCUGCAACCCGGCUCCGUGAAGUCGGAUUCGCUAGUAACGGCGCAUCAGCUACGGCGCCGUGAAUACGUUCCCGGGCCUUGUACACACCGCCCGUCACAUCAUGAAAGCCGUCUGCACCCGAAGUCGGUGACCGAACCCGCGAGGGACGGAGCCGCCUAAGGUGUGGGUGGUGAUUGGGAUGAAGUCGUAACAAGGUAGCCGUAGGGGAACCUGCGGCUGGAUCACCUCCUU